AACGAACGUUGGCGGCGUGGAUUAGGCAUGCAAGUCGAAUGAAUCCCACCUGGGUAACUGGGUGGGGGAAAUGGCGAAAGGGGCAGUAAGGCAUGGGCAACCUACCCCGGGGACGGGCAUAGCCGUCCUAACGGACGGGUAAUUCCCGGCGAUUCAGUUUGGGGGCAUCUCCGGACUGGGAAACGAGUUUCGCCUCGGGAGGGGCUCAUGUAGUAUUAGCUAGUUGGUGAGGUAACGGCUCACCAAGGCGAAGAUGCAGCGGGUGUGAGAGCACGACCCGCGCCACUGGCACUGAGACACUGGCCAGACUCCUACGGGAGGCUGCAGUCGAGGAUCUUCGGCAAUGGGCGCAAGCCUGACCGAGCGACGCCGCGUGUGCG
Molecule: ribosomal RNA, 380 nt
Filed under: uncultured bacterium
Lineage: Bacteria
Description: bacterial SSU rRNA
Rfam family: Bacterial small subunit ribosomal RNA
Source: RNAcentral